Molecule: ribosomal RNA, 393 nt
Filed under: uncultured bacterium
Lineage: Bacteria
Description: partial 16S ribosomal RNA
Rfam family: Bacterial small subunit ribosomal RNA
Source: RNAcentral
AUACGGAGGACGCGAGCGUUAUCCGGAUUCAUUGGGUUUAAAGGGUGCGCAGGCGGCCGUGCAAGUCAGCGGUGAAAGCCCGGGGCUCAACCCCGGAAGUGCCGUUGAUACUGCGUGGCUGGAAUGCGGUCGAGGCGGGCGGAACGUGGCGUGUAGCGGUGAAAGGCGUAGAUAUGCCACAGAACGCCGAUAGCGGAGGCAGCUCGCCAGGCCUGCAUUGACGCUCGGGCACGAAAGCGUGGGGAUCGAACAGGAUUAGAUACCCUGGUAGUCCACGCCGUAAACGAUGGGCGCUCGUCGUCGGCGGCAGACAGUCGGCGGCCAAGCGAAAGCGAUAAGCGCCCCACCUGGGGAGUACGGUCGCAAGAAUGAAACUCAAAUGAAUUGACGGGG